GCAGUCGAACGGUAGCACAGAAGAGCUUGCUCUUCGGGUGACGAGUGGCGGACGGGUGAGUAAUGUCUGGGGAUCUGCCCGAUAGAGGGGGAUAACCACUGGAAACGGUGGCUAAUACCGCAUAACGUCGCAAGACCAAAGAGGGGGACCUUCGGGCCUCUCACUAUCGGAUGAACCCAGAUGGGAUUAGCUAGUAGGUGGGGUAACGGCUCACCUAGGCGACGAUCCCUAGCUGGUCUGAGAGGAUGACCAGCCACACUGGAACUGAGACACGGUCCAGACUCCUACGGGAGGCAGCAGUGGGGAAUAUUGCACAAUGGGCGCAAGCCUGAUGCAGCCAUGCCGCGUGUAUGAAGAAGGCCUUCGGGUUGUAAAGUACUUUCAGCGGGGAGGAAGGGAGCGAGGUUAAUAACCUCGUUCAUUGACGUUACCCGCAGAAGAAGCACCGGCUAACUCCGUGCCAGCAGCCGCGGUAAUACGGAGGGUGCAAGCGUUAAUCGGAAUUACUGGGCGUAAAGCGCACGCAGGCGGUCUGCUAAGUCAGAUGUGAAAUCCCCGGGCUUAACCUGGGAACUGCAUUUGAAACUGGCAGGCUAGAGUCUUGUAGAGGGGGGUAGAAUUCCAGGUGUAGCGGUGAAAUGCGUAGAGAUCUGGAGGAAUACCGGUGGCGAAGGCGGCCCCCUGGACAAAGACUGACGCUC
RNAcentral lists this ribosomal RNA (701 nucleotides) under bacterium 67-L049642-122-014-C09. RNAcentral's name for it is "bacterial SSU rRNA". It matches the Rfam family "Bacterial small subunit ribosomal RNA", at positions 57 to 748 of the family's 1533-position model. The record is from RNAcentral.